RNAcentral lists this unclassified non-coding RNA (345 nucleotides) under soil metagenome. RNAcentral's name for it is "partial contains 5.8S ribosomal RNA, internal transcribed spacer 2, and large subunit ribosomal RNA". The stretch from base 1 to 120 matches the Rfam family "5.8S ribosomal RNA", at positions 35 to 154 of the family's 154-position model. The record is from RNAcentral.
GAUGAAGAACGUAGCAAAAUGCGAUAAGUAAUGUGAAUUGCAGAAUUCAGUGAAUCAUCGAAUCUUUGAACGCACAUUGCGCCCGCUGGUAUUCCGGCGGGCAUGCCUGUUCGAGCGUCAUUUCAACCCUCAAGCCCCCGGGUUUGGUGUUGGGGAUCGGCUCUGCCUUCUGGCGGUGCCGCCCCCGAAAUACAUUGGCGGUCUCGCUGCAGCCUCCAUUGCGUAGUAGCUAACACCUCGCAACUGGAACGCGGCGCGGCCAUGCCGUAAAACCCCAACUUCUGAAUGUUGACCUCGGAUCAGGUAGGAAUACCCGCUGAACUUAAGCAUAUCAAUAAGCGGGGA